GAUGAACGCUGGCGGCGUGCCUAAUACAUGCAAGUCGAGCGAACAGACGAGGAGCUUGCUCCUCUGACGUUAGCGGCGGACGGGCGAGUAACACGUGGAUAACCUACCUAUAAGACUGGGAUAACAUCGGGAAACCGGAGACAAUACCGGAUCAUACAUUGAACGGCAUGGUUCAAUAGUGAAUGGCGGUUUUGCUGUCACUUAUAGAUGGUUCCGCGUCGGAUUAGCUAGUUGGUAAGGUAACGGCUAACCAAGGCUACGAUGCGUAGCUGAGCUGAGAGGGUGAUCGGCCACACUGGAACUGAGACACGGUCCAGACUCCUACGGGAGGCAGCAGUGGGGAAUCUUCCACAAUGGGCGAAAGCCUGACGGAGCCACGCCGCGUGAGUGAUGAAGGUCUUCGGGUUGUAAAACCCUGUUGUUGGGAAAGAACAGAAGUGUAAUUAUCUAUGCACGUCUUGACGGUACCUAAAGAAUAAGCCACGGCUAACUACGUG
RNAcentral lists this ribosomal RNA (497 nucleotides) under uncultured bacterium. Its description in RNAcentral is "partial 16S ribosomal RNA". It matches the Rfam family "Bacterial small subunit ribosomal RNA", at positions 28 to 507 of the family's 1533-position model. The record is from RNAcentral.